UUUGUCUUUUAGGAAUUUACUAAGUGAAACUAUUCCAUUCUCUGGAUUUCCGGCCUUCUCUCAGCUCGAUCACCCAUGUCGAGGGGUUUACAACUUUAGGCUUUGUUUAUUUUAUAAUACGAGCGUACACGCAGAUGGUUUAAACUCCGCUCUUAAUUUAUAGCCAUCGAUACAAAAGAUCCUCGAAGAACAUUCGAGACAUAUCGAUACAAUAGUCUAUUCGAUAAAUAUUCCCAUGUCAAUGUCGCCAUACCAUUCUAGACAUAUUCACGUGAUAAACGUUUCACGUUACACCUUCCCCCUUAUACAAAAGGUGUUUACAUAAAACAGCUUUUUCAUUCAAAACAUUGCUCCUUAAUAACGUGAAAGUAGGUCUGUAUCAACUAAUUCAUUCCAAAGUCACGCGUCGUACAACUUCAAUAGUCCAUUCAAUAGUUCGUAAUUUCGCACCCAGCAUAAUCCGUAUAUGUAAACAUACAACAAAUAAUAAUUCUCCCAUCUAUUAUCAAUCGUCUCUGGUGUAUUCAUAAGCCAUAAUAUUAAUAGAGUAUAAUCGCAAGUUUACAAGGCAACAACGAUCUAAUUCAGUCUUCGGUAAUAUCAUCUAGCCGUAUACACGCCAAUUUUAGUUUGUUGAUUUCGCGCAGCCAUAGUCUGUGUGGUGGUGAUUUUAUUGAAAAGCUCCUCAAAAUGCUGUGCAAAAGUUCGAGGCGUUUGUCCCUUGGCAAAUUCAGAAGAGAACCCAACGACUGAGGAUGAAAAGCCGUGGAUGUUAUUCGCUGUAUUUUGAAAAAUCCUGCAGAAAUUCUUCA
Molecule: long non-coding RNA, 812 nt
Organism: Osmia bicornis bicornis
Lineage: Eukaryota; Metazoa; Arthropoda; Insecta; Hymenoptera; Megachilidae
Exons: 3
Source: RefSeq, a predicted model, not a curated record